This 266-nucleotide signal recognition particle RNA is filed under the name Candidatus Poribacteria bacterium. RNAcentral's name for it is "signal recognition particle sRNA large type". It matches the Rfam family "Bacterial large signal recognition particle RNA". Rfam says of the family: The signal recognition particle (SRP) is a universally conserved ribonucleoprotein involved in the co-translational targeting of proteins to membranes. Archaeal SRP consists of a 7S RNA and homologues of the eukaryotic SRP19 and SRP54 proteins. Lineage: Bacteria; Candidatus Poribacteria. The record is from RNAcentral.
UUAUGCUAAGCGGGGAGGUAGCGGUGUCCUAUACCUGCAAUCCGCUAUAGCAGGGCUGAAUUCCCAUUGUGCGGCAAGCUUUUUCUUGGACUGACUGUAGCACGUGGUGUUGAGAGUUUGGUCCUGGGCAACUGGAUGUUACUGAACUCCGUCAGAUCUGGAAAGAAGCAGCGGCAGGUAAUUUGACAGUGUGACACAGGGUAGCCUAGCUUGAGCUAACGAUUACCUUAACGCUUGGAUCUGCUUGUCAACCUCUGGGUGCAUAA